CCUACGGGGUGCAGCAGUGGGGAAUAUUGGGCAAUGGAGGCAACUCUUACCCAGUAAUGCCGCGUGAAUGAAGAAGGUCUUCGGAUUGUAAAGUUCUUUAAUUGGGGACGAAAAAAAUGACGGUACCCCAGGAAUAAGCCCCGGCUAACUACGUGCCAGCAGCCGCGGCAAUACGUAGGGGGCAAGCGUUGUUCGGAAUGACUGGGCGUAAAGGGUGUGUAGGCGGUGUAGCAAGUUAGAAGGGAAAUACCUAGGGCUUAACGCAGGUGCUGCUUCUAAAACUGCUAUACUUGAGUGCAGUAGAGGAAAGUGGAAUUCCUAGUGGAGCGGUGGAAUGCGUAGAUAUUAGGAGGAACAUCAGUGGCGAAGGCGACUUGCUGGACUGUAACUGACGCUGAGGCACGAAAGUGUGGGGAGCAAACAGGAUUAGAUACCCUUGUAGUC
RNAcentral lists this ribosomal RNA (444 nucleotides) under uncultured bacterium. RNAcentral describes it as "partial 16S ribosomal RNA". It matches the Rfam family "Bacterial small subunit ribosomal RNA", at positions 338 to 795 of the family's 1533-position model. The record is from RNAcentral.